Molecule: ribosomal RNA, 468 nt
Filed under: uncultured bacterium
Lineage: Bacteria
Description: partial 16S ribosomal RNA
Rfam family: Bacterial small subunit ribosomal RNA
Source: RNAcentral
GACGAACGCUGGCGGCGUGCUUAACACAUGCAAGUCGAACGGAAAGGCCCUGCUUUUGUGGGGUGCUCGAGUGGCGAACGGGUGAGUAACACGUGAGUAACCUUGCCUGGGCUUUGGGAUAACUUCAGGCAACUGGGGCUAAUACCGGAUACGAGCUCCUGCUGCAUGGUGGGGGUUGGAAAGUUUGGGCGGUUGGGGAUGGACUGGGGGGUAAAUAGCUUGUGGGUUGGGUAGUUGCCUACCCAGGCAUUGGUGGGUGGCCGGCCUGAGAGGGUGGUCAGCGACAUUGGGACUGAGAGACGGCCCAGACGCCUACGGGAGGCAGAAGUGGGGAAUAUUGCACAAUGGGCGGGAGCCUGAUGCAGCAACGCCGCGUGCGGGAUGACGGCCUUCGGGUUGUAAACCGCUUUCGCCUGUGACGAAGCGUGAGUGACGGUAAUGGGUAAAGAAGCACCGGCUAACUACGUG